AAGGACGAAGUAAACGGAGCGUUCUGAACGGCGCGAGCGCGCGAGGCGCGUGACCCGAGGUAUGGUCGAGGGAGAAACAGCACUGAGCGAGCAUUAUCGACGUGGCUCCGGGCCAGGAAGGUCGCAUCGCCAGCUCCGCUCUGGCGACGGGAGACUUGGGGGUCUGGCCGAGUCCGUGACGCGGGCGGUCCAAGGUGUGGCCGUCGACCUCGGCAAGUUCGAGUGAGGCUCCUGGACUGGCUGCAGCCUCUCACGGCAGGACCGGGCACCCCAGAGAGGACCCCUCUUCCACGGCAGACCGGCACGUUUGACGAUCCCCGGAACGCCACGUCGGCACUCGGGAAAGGAGCUGGACGGAAGCGGUGGCCGAGCACGUCGCUAGGCCUAACCCGUCAAGCCUUCCGGCCACGUCAGCAACAGCGACCGGGUUAUACAGGCUUCGGAGGCGAACAAGUUCAAGGACCGACUGCAAGGCAGCCACGACUAUGCGACAGUCGGCGAAAGCAACGACUUUAAGAAAGGUCCAACGAAAUCCCCACCGGGAGAAUACGAGCAACGAGUACGAACGGAGUAAGGACGAUCCAUUCUUGUAGUAGGCCAGAGUUGCCAGACGUUUGUGUAGGAAACGCCCAGAAUCAGUGUGGUCGGAAUUAAGGACACGUUUAGUGAUUAUUAAGGGUUAGGUUGUACAUGUGUUAGUAUUUUUCCUGCAGCGUGUUUUAGUGUGCUUAAGUUUAUGGUUAUGAAUUUAUUAGGUUCAUUUAUUUGUUUAGUGUAGUGUGAGUUCUUAGUUUGAGGUUUUUGGGUUUUGUGUGAGAUUAAAAUCUGCUUGCUGUGU
Molecule: long non-coding RNA, 838 nt
Organism: Dermacentor silvarum
Lineage: Eukaryota; Metazoa; Arthropoda; Arachnida; Ixodida; Ixodidae
Exons: 2
Source: RefSeq, a predicted model, not a curated record